UUGGCCAUGAUCCGCCUCUCCAAGCCAAAGCUCAGUCUACAUCCCAAAAUGGCACCCUGUUCCCUAUAUAGUGCACUACUUUUGACCAGAGCCCUAUAUAGGGAAUAGGGUGCCGUUUGGGAUAUAGGCCUGGUCUGAGGUUAGUCCCCACAGUAACAGAAUGGAUAUAGCCCUGGUCUGAGGUUAGUCCCCACAGUAACAGAAUGGAUAUAGCCCUGGUCUGAGGUUAGUCCCCACAGUAACAGAAUGGAUAUAGCCCUGGUCUGAGGUUAGUCCCCACAGUAACAGAAUGGAUAUAGCCCUGGUCUGAGGUUAGUCCCCACAGUAACAGAAUGGAUAUAGCCCUGGUCUGAGGUGAGUCCCCACAGUAACAGAAUGGAUAUAGCCCUGGUCUGAGGUUAGUCCCCACAGUAACAGAAUGGAUAUAGCCCUGGUCUGAGGUUAGUCCCCACAGUAACAGAAUGGAUAUAGCCCUGGUCUGAGGUUAGUCCCCACAGUAACAGAAUGGAUAUAGCCCUGGUCUGAGGUUAGUCCCCACAGUAACAGAAUGGAUAUAGCCCUGGUCUGAGGUUAGUCCCCACAGUAACAGAAUGGAUAUAGCCCUGGUCUGAGGUUAGUCCCCACAGUAACAGAAUGGAUAUAGCCCUGGUCUGAGGUUAGUCCCCACAGUAACAGAAUGGAUAUAGCCCUGGUCUGAGGUUAGUCCCCACAGUAACAGAAUGGAUAUAGCCCUGGUCUGAGGUUAGUCCCCACAGUAACAGAAUGGAUAUAGCCCUGGUCUGAGGUUAGUCCCCACAGUAACAGAAUGGAUAUAGCCCUGGUCUGAGGUUAGUCCCCACAGUAACAGAAUGGAUAUAGCCCUGGUCUGAGGUUAGUCCCCACAGUAACAGAAUGGAUAUAGCCCUGGUCUGAGGUUAGUCCCCACAGUAACAGAAUGGAUAUAGCCCUGGUCUGAGGUUAGUCCCCACAGUAACAGAAUGGAUAUAGCCCUGGUCUGAGGUUAGUCCCCACAGUAACAGAAUGGAUAUAGCCCUGGUCUGAGGUUAGUCCCCACAGUAACAGAAUGGAUAUAGCCCUGGUCUGAGGUUAGUCCCCACAGUAACAGAAUGGAUAUAGCCCUGGUCUGAGGUUAGUCCCCACAGUAACAGAAUGGAUAUAGCCCUGGUCUGAGGUUAGUCCCCACAGUAACAGAAUGGAUAUGAGUAUUAUUCCAUAUUAAUAACACAAACCGUAGAGUUUGUAUAGAAAUGUGAUUCCCUUUGUGAUUCAGGGACUAGUGGUGUACGGUAUCUACAGCCAUAUGUAACUAGUGAUUCAGGGACUAGUGGUGUACGGUAUCUACAGCCAUAUG
Long non-coding RNA from Oncorhynchus keta (chum salmon), 1351 nucleotides. RefSeq lists it as uncharacterized. NCBI's taxonomy places the organism in Eukaryota, Metazoa, Chordata, Actinopteri, Salmoniformes, Salmonidae. The transcript has 7 exons. The record is from RefSeq and is a predicted model, not a curated record.